RNAcentral lists this long non-coding RNA (261 nucleotides) under Phoenix dactylifera (date palm). RNAcentral describes it as "long non-coding RNA (PDAC_LNC017333)". Lineage: Eukaryota; Viridiplantae; Streptophyta; Magnoliopsida; Arecales; Arecaceae. The record is from RNAcentral.
AGGGAAAACCAACGGUGUUAGGUUUGUUGGUGAGCCGAGGGUAAAACCAACGUGUAAGGGUUCGAUUGUGAUCCCGGAAAAACAAUCGGGGAGGUUCUAGUCGGUGAGCCUGGGAAAACCGACCGAGUUCGUUGUGACCUCGUAAAACAACAAGUUGGGUUGUGAGCUUGUAAAACAACCGGCUGUAAUCUGUGGGAUUAUAGUGAAAUUCCCAAGAAGUCUUGGGGAGUGGAUGUAGGUGCUGGGGUGCACCGAACCACU